UGAAAGUGUCCGAAGUCACUGCUGUCUGGU
Molecule: non-coding RNA, 30 nt
Filed under: Rattus norvegicus (Norway rat)
Lineage: Eukaryota; Metazoa; Chordata; Mammalia; Rodentia; Muridae
Source: RNAcentral